GCGCGCGUAGCUCAGCGGUAGAGCGAUCGCUUCACACGCGAUAGGUCGGAGGUUCGACACCUCCCGCGCGCA
RNAcentral lists this transfer RNA (72 nucleotides) under Candidatus Uhrbacteria bacterium. RNAcentral describes it as "tRNA-Val". It matches the Rfam family "tRNA". Rfam says of the family: Transfer RNA (tRNA) molecules are approximately 80 nucleotides in length. Their secondary structure includes four short double-helical elements and three loops (D, anti-codon, and T loops). The record is from RNAcentral. Lineage: Bacteria; Candidatus Uhriibacteriota.